Molecule: ribosomal RNA, 1498 nt
Filed under: uncultured bacterium
Lineage: Bacteria
Description: bacterial SSU rRNA
Rfam family: Bacterial small subunit ribosomal RNA
Source: RNAcentral
GUUUGAUCCUGGCUCAGAUUGAACGCUGGCGGCAGGCCUAACACAUGCAAGUCGAACGGUAACAGGAAGCAGCUUGCUGCUUCGCUGACGAGUGGCGGACGGGUGAGUAAUGUCUGGGAAGCUGCCUGAUGGAGGGGGAUAACUACUGGAAACGGUAGCUAAUACCGCAUAAUGUCGCAAGACCAAAGAGGGGGACCUUCGGGCCUCUUGCCAUCGGAUGUGCCCAGAUGGGAUUAGCUUGUUGGUGGGGUAACGGCUCACCAAGGCGACGAUCCCUAGCUGGUCUGAGAGGAUGACCAGCCACACUGGAACUGAGACACGGUCCAGACUCCUACGGGAGGCAGCAGUGGGGAAUAUUGCACAAUGGGCGCAAGCCUGAUGCAGCCAUGCCGCGUGUAUGAAGAAGGCCUUCGGGUUGUAAAGUACUUUCAGCGGGGAGGAAGGGAGUAAAGUUAAUACCUUUGCUCAUUGACGUUACCCGCAGAAGAAGCACCGGCUAACUCCGUGCCAGCAGCCGCGGUAAUACGGAGGGUGCAAGCGUUAAUCGGAAUUACUGGGCGUAAAGCGCACGCAGGCGGUUUGUUAAGUCAGAUGUGAAAUCCCCGGGCUCAACCUGGGAACUGCAUCUGAUACUGGCAAGCUUGAGUCUCGUAGAGGGGGGUAGAAUUCCAGGUGUAGCGGUGAAAUGCGUAGAGAUCUGGAGGAAUACCCGGUGGCGAAGGCGGCCCCCUGGACGAAGACUGACGCUCAGGUGCGAAAGCGUGGGGAGCAAACAGGAUUAGAUACCCUGGUAGUCCACGCCGUAAACGAUGUCGACUUGGAGGUUGUGCCCUUGAGGCGUGGCUUCCGGAGCUAACGCGUUAAGUCGACCGCCUGGGGAGUACGGCCGCAAGGUUAAAACUCAAAUGAAUUGACGGGGGCCCGCACAAGCGGUGGAGCAUGUGGUUUAAUUCGAUGCAACGCGAAGAACCUUACCUGGUCUUGACAUCCACGGAAGUUUUCAGAGAUGAGAAUGUGCCUUCGGGAACCGUGAGACAGGUGCUGCAUGGCUGUCGUCAGCUCGUGUUGUGAAAUGUUGGGUUAAGUCCCGCAACGAGCGCAACCCUUAUCCUUUGUUGCCAGCGGUCCGGCCGGGAACUCAAAGGAGACUGCCAGUGAUAAACUGGAGGAAGGUGGGGAUGACGUCAAGUCAUCAUGGCCCUUACGACCAGGGCUACACACGUGCUACAAUGGCGCAUACAAAGAGAAGCGACCUCGCGAGAGCAAGCGGACCUCAUAAAGUGCGUCGUAGUCCGGAUUGGAGUCUGCAACUCGACUCCAUGAAGUCGGAAUCGCUAGUAAACGUGGAUCAGAAUGCCACGGUGAAUACGUUCCCGGGCCUUGUACACACCGCCCGUCACACCAUGGGAGUGGGUUGCAAAAGAAGUAGGUAGCUUAACCUUCGGGAGGGCGCUUACCACUUUGUGAUUCAUGACUGGGGUGAAGUCGUAACAAGGUA